Pyrgilauda ruficollis (rufous-necked snowfinch) is the source of this 2297-nucleotide long non-coding RNA. RefSeq lists it as uncharacterized. NCBI's taxonomy places the organism in Eukaryota, Metazoa, Chordata, Aves, Passeriformes, Passeridae. The transcript is spliced from 4 exons. The record is from RefSeq and is a predicted model, not a curated record.
GUGAAGCAGCAGCGCCGCCGCCGCCGCCCCCCGCCGGUGCGCCCCGGCCCCGACAAGAGCGAUGGCUCCGGUGCGGCGGCGGCUCCUCCUCCGCCUCCUCCUCCUCCCGCCGGCCCGGCUCUGAUGUCAGCGCCCCGGCCGCCGGGGGAGGGACGGGGCGGGGCGGCCCCGGGGCUGAGCCUGCGCCCGCCGGACCGGCCCCGCCGCUGCCCGAGGGGCGCCGGGGGGGGUUGGUCCCCCAGGGGUACGGGAGACCCCCGGCCCCACCACCGCCUGUGUCCCCGGUGCCCUGGAGCCGGAGGUGGGAUGGCAACAGGUCGCGGUGUUGCCGGUGACGCUCCGGUGACAACAGGAAAGACUGCUGGCAAAAGCGUGGAGCGACAGGACCGGGGGAAUGGGCUCAGAAUCCAGCAAAGAUGAGGCUAAAAGAGAAGAGAUCUACACUGAGGUGCAACCUGCCCUUGAGCUGCCUGACAUCCAGUGAGCAUUCCUUCUGCUGGAGCGUCACAGGAAAUCAAGCGAACCUGAGCAGCGGAGCCUCGGUGAGACAGAAUUAGCGAGAUUUCCCCAAAAUGAUCCAAUCUCUGCUACAGACGGGACAGAGGGGUGCCGGCUCCGUGCUCCGGGGUGUCGGGACUCCCUGCCCGGCUCGGAGCCCAUCGCCCCGAGCCACCACGAGGUGGCCCCCGGGCCCCGCCGGGCCCGGUGCGCCCGGGGCCGCGGGACGGGAGCGGCGCGGAGGCUCCGGGGGUGUCACAGGACACGAAAUAAAACGACGCGGAUACAGGAAUGGUAAGCUGUUACUGCACCUUGUGGACAGGGAAAGGGAGUCAGGAAUGAUUUGGGCUGCUUCAGAUGGAGUCAGGAGCCAGGACUGUGCCCACAGAGCCCUGCAGUGGCACAAUCCAGGAGGACAGAGCAAGCUCCAAGGUCAGCAGACAGAAAACAGGGAAGAUGGCCUGACUGAAGUGUCCAAACGAGUUAUGUAUAAAAUAUCCUUCCUGCAAGCACAGGAUGAAGCACAAGGUCACCCCAUGGCUGGGACAAAGCAGUGACAAAGCUCCCACCUCCCACACCUGCCAGCCCUGCUGCUGGUGGCACUUAAUCCCCUGGCAGUGCCCUGUGGGAAGAGCUCUGCAAAUGGCAUCAGGGAGACAGGGAAAGGGCUGAAACUGGGCCCACCAAAAGCUGCAUUUGUUGUGGCCCUGUGGGAAGGUAAAACAUCUUUCUGUAACGCUGCCAGAAAGGGCCGUGGAACAAGACCAGAACCUGAGAAAGCAGCUCAAAAAGGCCAAUUUGUCCAGACCCAGCAGUGCAGGUGAUGCAUGAAGCUCCAGUUUAGUUUAAUAGGGGAAGAAAAAUCAUCAAGGAAUAUUUAGAAAGGUUUGUGUCACUCUGGUGCAUUUCCCAUCACAUGAGGAUGUGUCAAAGGACCACGCUCAGUCCUGCCAGUGCUGAAGAGGAGCCUGGAAAUAGUUACAGCAAAGCAUGUGAUCCAUUAGACAGGGGAAAAGAAGAAGAAAAGGCAGCUUGGAUAUUCUCUCUUACCUCUCCUGUCACCUUUUUGCUCCUCCUGGAAGCACAGCCAGUGUCCCUGAUGAGGAAUGAGGUGGCCAGGGAGGUGAAACGCUGUGGCCAGGCCGUGUCACCAAGGCCUCGUCAGCUCAGCUCCACGCAGCUGGCACUGCUAAAACCUCCUGAAUCAGCACCAGCUGGCUGGAAAAUGAAAGCUGGCCUGUUUGCUCCCCUCUUGCACCUCCCAAAAUAUCCAGCAGCUUCCCUCUCCUGGUCCCCUCUGACCACACACACCCCCAGCAAUCAGCGGGCACUGCCAGCCUGUCCGGCCUCCUGCUCCCUGUGUCCCACCAGUAACCACCUAAAGUGGGCAUUUUUGAAGAUCACCAGGCUGCAAAUGUCUGAGAAGUGCUGGAGAACACAGCUCCCCCCUCCCAGGGCCCAGGGUCCCGUGGGGAGGUCAUGAGGUGCUGUGGGGCACAUCCAGCAAGGAGGAAAAUCAUCUCAAACCACCCUCAUUGUUUCCACUUUUAUCUCAUCCAAAGAAGAAACAGAGCAUAAAAAGGUGGGCAGCACAUUUCUCCAGGCUCCUUCAGAAGUCUGAGGAGCUGCAGGAGCUGCCCAGCUCCAGCUUCUUUCUGUCCUGGGUCAGACAGGACUCGACAGCAUCCAGCCCAAACCAUGCCAGAGGCUGAGCUCCACGCAGGACAACAGCAGUGAAGGGAAUUGUGCAGGGAAUCUGCAGCUCCUGUCUCAGAGAGUCAGCCUCAGACAAAAAAAAA